RNAcentral lists this ribosomal RNA (557 nucleotides) under uncultured bacterium. Its description in RNAcentral is "bacterial SSU rRNA". It matches the Rfam family "Bacterial small subunit ribosomal RNA", at positions 102 to 694 of the family's 1533-position model. The record is from RNAcentral.
ACGGGUGAGUAACGCGUGGGAAUCUACCCAUCUCUACGGAACAACUCCGGGAAACUGGAGCUAAUACCGUAUACGUCCUUCGGGAGAAAGAUUUAUCGGAGAUGGAUGAGCCCGCGUUGGAUUAGCUAGUUGGUGGGGUAAUGGCCUACCAAGGCGACGAUCCAUAGCUGGUCUGAGAGGAUGAUCAGCCACACUGGGACUGAGACACGGCCCAGACUCCUACGGGAGGCAGCAGUGGGGAAUAUUGGACAAUGGGCGCAAGCCUGAUCCAGCCAUGCCGCGUGAGUGAUGAAGGCCCUAGGGUUGUAAAGCUCUUUCAACGGUGAAGAUAAUGACGGUAACCGUAGAAGAAGCCCCGGCUAACUUCGUGCCUGCAGCCGCGGUAAUACGAAGGGGGCUAGCGUUGUUCGGAAUUACUGGGCGUAAAGCGCACGUAGGCGGAUACUUAAGUCAGGGGUGAAAUCCCGGGGCUCAACCCCGGAACUGCCUUUGAUACUGGGUAUCUCGAGUCCGGAAGAGGUGAGUGGAAUUCCGAGUGUAGAGGUGAAAUUCGUAGA